GAUGAAUGCUGGCGGCGUGCCUAAUACAUGCAAGUCGAGCGAACAGAUGAGGAGCUUGCUCCUCUGACGUUAGCGGCGGACGGGUGAGUAACACGUGGAUAACCUACCUAUAAGACUGGGAUAACUUCGGGAAACCGGAGCUAAUACCGGAUAAUAUAUUGAACCGCAUGGUUCAAUAGUGAAAGACGGUUUUGCUGUCACUUAUAGAUGGAUCCGCGCCGCAUUAGCUAGUUGGUAAGGUAACGGCUUACCAAGGCAACGAUGCGUAGCCGACCUGAGAGGGUGAUCGGCCACACUGGAACUGAGACACGGUCCAGACUCCUACGGGAGGCAGCAGUAGGGAAUCUUCCGCAAUGGGCGAAAGCCUGACGGAGCAACGCCGCGUGAGUGAUGAAGGUCUUCGGAUCGUAAAACUCUGUUAUUAGGGAAGAACAAAUGUGUAAGUAACUAUGCACGUCUUGACGGUACCUAAUCAGAAAGCCACGGCUAACUACGU
This 496-nucleotide ribosomal RNA is filed under the name uncultured bacterium. RNAcentral describes it as "partial 16S ribosomal RNA". It matches the Rfam family "Bacterial small subunit ribosomal RNA", at positions 28 to 506 of the family's 1533-position model. The record is from RNAcentral.